GAUGAAGAACGUAGCGAAAUGCGAUAAGUAAUGUGAAUUGCAGAAUUCAGUGAAUCAUCGAAUCUUUGAACGCACAUUGCGCCCGCUAGUAUUCUGGCGGGCAUGCCUGUCUGAGCGUCAUUUCAACCCUCAUGCCCCUAGGGCGUGGUGUUGGGGAUCGGCCAAAGCCCGCGAGGGACGGCCGGCCCCUAAAUCUAGUGGCGGACCCGUCGUGGCCUCCUCUGCGAAGUAGUGAUAUUCCGCAUCGGAGAGCGAUGAGCCCCUGCCGUUAAACCCCCAACUUUCCAAGGUUGACCUCAGAUCAGGUAGGAAUACCCGCUGAACUUAAGCAUAUCAAUAAGCGGAGGA
Molecule: unclassified non-coding RNA, 348 nt
Filed under: soil metagenome
Description: partial contains 5.8S ribosomal RNA, internal transcribed spacer 2, and large subunit ribosomal RNA
Rfam family: 5.8S ribosomal RNA (bases 1-120)
Source: RNAcentral